CCCGCUUCGAGCCCCCGGGCGGCGGCACCGCAUCCCGGGGCCCCGCAGAAAAUGAAGACUCAGCCCAAAAGACAGAGCCUGCAGAUCAGCUAGUUGAUUCUUUGGAGUCCAGUACUUCGCAGAGCGGGUCACAGAUUGGGUCACACCUGAGUGCAGGCACGACAGAGGAUUCGAAGGAAGAAGCUGACACUUUGGAGGACCAGGAAGUGGCUGAACUAGAAGAGAAGCUGCCUGACAAAAUCCAUUCCCUCAAAAAGGAAGCUGGUGUUUGGGUAACCAACUACCAUGUACCUC
This 294-nucleotide long non-coding RNA is filed under the name Lepidothrix coronata (blue-crowned manakin). Its description in RNAcentral is "lncRNA (ENSLCOG00000005760.1)". Lineage: Eukaryota; Metazoa; Chordata; Aves; Passeriformes; Pipridae. The record is from RNAcentral.